RNAcentral lists this long non-coding RNA (335 nucleotides) under Selaginella moellendorffii. RNAcentral describes it as "long non-coding RNA (SMOE_LNC000585)". Lineage: Eukaryota; Viridiplantae; Streptophyta; Lycopodiopsida; Selaginellales; Selaginellaceae. The record is from RNAcentral.
UCCAUCCUUUGGCUUUGCUGCGGCUUUCAAGUUUUGAUGCCUUGCUGCUGCUGAUCUCCUCGCACCCCUUUGACGUCUUUGAACGCACAGAAAUUGGAGUUUCAACUACAAACUCAACACUCUUUGCAAAGUGAUCACCUGGACAGAGAGCGGUUUACACCAAUUCUCGUGCUGCUGCUGGAUUUCCUGGAUACAAACCAGUCUCUUGCGUGAAGCUACCCGGCAGCGCAAUUUCCAAGCAAUUCGCUGAUUGAGGCAAUAGGAAGCGUACCAUUUCUCAGAAAAAAAGCAGCAAUGGCGGACCGACAAUCACAAAUGCUAUGUCCCGUUUUCUG